ACAGGAACAUCCGGCGUGUUUGCUCUGGUCGUCACAGCACCGGUUCCUCGGGCGCGCGCCCUUAGUCCUGGGGCCGCUUCUCCCCCGGACGCGUGCGAAGGCGGACUGGGUUCCGCUGCGGUCUCCACGGGAGCCACCGGUCCUGAAAGCGCGGAGCAUGCUUUGUUUGCGGAAACGAAAGCGAAUACUUCUUUCCAAGGAGACUUAGGAAAGGGCAGACGCUCCCACUGCCUCAGGUGUUCCCUGGAGGACCUUCAAGUGGCCGCCGUGUGGGCGGGCUAGCGUCCCGCUGCUGCGCUGGUUCCGGAGCCCUUCCCUUGCCUCUCCCAGGGUCCUUCUCCCAGCGUCGGAGGAAGGCCCGCAGUCUGCGAGUGGAGUGCGGGUGGUGGGAAUCCCUGGGAGGAUUACGAAAUCCUUAAAGUGGGAUUUACCAAACGCAUUCCUUUCCGCUCACUUCCGUUCCCGCUUAACAAACGUGUUGGAAACGUGUUGCUACUGAAAGGAAGUGGCGCUGGGCUGCAUUUUCUGUGGCUAGUCUGCGAGAAACAGCCCUGGAAUAGGGCCUCUAUUUCUUCCUUGGAGCAUCCCUCCCCGGGACCUGGGAGUUGAAACUCUAGGCUAAAGCAACUGAAGCAGGCCCAGGACUGGGUCUCUGAAAUUCAUGGUGUCUCUACGCUGAGUUAAACUAAGUUUUUCAGAAAAUGUCUAACUAGGCUAAAGACCUUGUGCUUCAGAGUGUUUUGAGAGGAGAGUUUGGGGAAAAGGGCUCUCUCUAGAAGGUAAAUUUGUAUGGGAGAUGGGGAGUGUGUGUUUACACGGAGUAUCGGGCGUCUUUCUUAUGGGUGGACAUUGUGGAUAAGAAUGAGAUAUUAAGGCAGAAUUAGCUGGGCUUUUAAUCCCAAACAGUGUUUUAAAAAUAAAAACUAUAUAUUUAAGGUGUAAAAAAAAAAAAAA
This 954-nucleotide long non-coding RNA is filed under the name Homo sapiens (human). RNAcentral's name for it is "LINC00240 antisense RNA regulating promoter methylation (LARRPM)". Lineage: Eukaryota; Metazoa; Chordata; Mammalia; Primates; Hominidae. The record is from RNAcentral.